AGUGAACGCUGGCGGCGUGCUUAACACAUGCAAGUCGAACGAGAGAAGUUGGUGCUUGCACCAACCAAUCUAGUGGCAUACGGGUGAGUAAUACAUGAGAAUCUGCCUUGUAGUAUGGGAUAACUAUUGGAAACAAUAGCUAAUACUGUAUAUUGCCGAGAGGUGAAAGAUUUAUCGCUACAAGAUGAGCUCAUGCAAGAUUAGUUUGUUGGUGGGGUAAAAGCCUACCAAGACUACGAUCUUUAGCUGGUCUGAGAGGAUGAUCAGCCACACUGGAACUGAGACACGGUCCAGACUCCUACGGGAGGCAGCAGUGGGGAAUAUUGGACAAUGGGCGCAAGCCUGAUCCAGCGACGCCGCGUGAGUGAAGAAGGCCUUAGGGUUGUAAAGCUCUUUUAGUAGGGAAGAUAAUGACGGUACCUACAGAAAAAGCCCCGGCUAACUUCG
This 447-nucleotide ribosomal RNA is filed under the name uncultured Rickettsiales bacterium. Its description in RNAcentral is "bacterial SSU rRNA". It matches the Rfam family "Bacterial small subunit ribosomal RNA", at positions 29 to 505 of the family's 1533-position model. The record is from RNAcentral. Lineage: Bacteria; Pseudomonadati; Pseudomonadota; Alphaproteobacteria; Rickettsiales.